CCAAAAAAAAAAAAAAAAACAAAAAACAAUAUGUAAAAAAACUGAAAACAAUUCCCAAGAAAGGAAAAGUUACCUACCCCAACCACCGCCAUCACUUAAAAAACUGGAAAGUAGAAAACGUCAAGGCGUUGUUUCCAAAGUUCAGAUCAGCAUAGUCACACACAAGAAAAACAUGACAUAAGUAAUAUAAAGCGUCUAGGGUAGAAUUGCUUUCCACUGCAUAGUAAAGAAAUAAACAGAGCUUCUCUGUUCAAGAUCUAUCUUGUGUCUGUCACUUCUUUUGUACAGUUAUGGAGGCAAAGCUAUCAGAAGCAACAACUCAUUCCAUUCUAGCCCCCAUCUUUCAAAAUUCAUCAAGAGUUGAGCCAUAUUUUCCAUCCAAAGGCACACUUAAUUGCAGGAAAGUCCUAAAAUUCAAUUUAGCAAAAAAAAAGAGCAUCGCCCUAUUCGAGCUUCUGUUUCUCUUAUAAGGUAAUACAAGAUAAGAAACUCAACUACCCUUUUGGGCCUCCUCUGUCUCUGCAUUUUGUGAAUGAGUUUUAAUUUUAGCUAAGAAUUUAAUUAUUGUUAAUUAAGAUGAUUUCUUUCUACGCAUUUUCUUUUUGGUAAAUUUUUUAUUGUUGACCUUUCUAUGGUAAAAUAUUAAACCAUGAUUCUUAUUCUACCGCGAAUUGGAAUCAAGAGUGAGAUUGAUGGCCAUUUUAUGGUUUUGAAAUGUAUUCUGACUUGCAUCUCAUAUAUUAUGAUUGUAUGAACAUAUAAGAACCUAUAGAAGGCCUUGCAUGUAGGCUGGGGAUGAUGAUUUCUGCAUUUCAACAUCUGCUUGCAACUUUAGUCCUAGACACGUAGUUGAAAACUGAAGGUGCUCUCUUUCUGUGGGUGAUCGGGCACUGGACAGUAUGCUACCACAAAUUCCCAUAUAAAGGUGUAAAGCUGUGACAUUGGAUGUUAUUUCACCCACACAUGCAAACUUUGAUGAUCUACUAGAUCCUGCAUUUGCAUUCACAACCCACAGACAUUCAUUUGCUUUAACUACUGAUAUUUUAGAAAGAAUUUGGUCUGCCAAGCUGCAUGCAUUAGUUGGUACCAUAAGUGCUAUCAUGUUUAUGAGACUUACAUGUAAAGUGAUAAAUUGGGAUUUGAGAUCUAUUUAGCAUCGUAACAGUUCAGAAUGAUAGUUUUUCGAAAACCUUUGUUUUGUAUCUGUUAGCCAUAAAAUUUGUUGAAAUCUAGAUUAUUUUGGUUACUAUUUCUAAACAAUUUCUUAAAUCUUAUAUGAGGUGUAAUACUUUACUGACUAAAUCCUUUGUUGCAACAGUCUCGUGACAAAAUCUGUUGACAAUUGAAAAGUUGCACUGAAUAACAAAAUAUUGUUUAUUGCAUAUCUUUAUAGAAAAAAGAGUUGGUAUUAGAUUAGGUCCUUAUGAAACAUUAAAGUAUAAUCAACACACAUGAUCACAAUGCAUUCUCCAUAGAUGGCUUCAGUGGUUCGUUGGCGGAGUACAUGCCGAGAAACUGAAAAGCUUCAGGCCCAGGUGGGCAGAUACAUGAGCCCAGAUGAGCAUCCUUUCUUUCCGGCAGACUGACCGGAACCUAUGCUUCCACCUUUGCAAUACCCACAGGUUUUGCAUCCUUGUGCUGAUGCAAUCAAUAUAAACAAGAAGGUUUUGAAUAUGUAUUUUAAGGAUCUUCUCCCAAGAAUGGUAGAAGGCGGGAAUGAUGGUAACUGCGGAUCAUGUGCUGUCUGUGACGUGCUUGCAGGUAUCGUGUUUGAGUUGAUUUCACUGAGAUAUAUAAGCAACUUUUAGCUAAUCUGGACUUUUAAACAGGGGAAUAUCACUCUGAUGUCCUAAAAUGCUUUCAUUUACAUUUAUUUUAUAUAAUUUAUUUGUGCGCUCAUUCAGUCACUGAGUGAUAUGGAUUAGUACACUGUGAAUCCACAGUAAUAUUAGAGAUCCGAUUUCUACAUGAUGUUUAGAUGUCAAAAGGGAGUUUUGGAGCAACAACCGAACUAAUAUUACUAAACGUUACAAGAAUGGUUUUAGGCAAUUCUAUUGUUGGAUUGAUUACUAUCUUCAUCACACGUGGAUUUCUUUGUUCCUCACUCACUCAUGGUCUUCCAUGAUGCAGCUGUAGUUAUGGAAAACUGCAAGGAAAUGAGGCCCACUGUUUGAUAGCUCCCUGUGGUGGCUCUCUGCCUGAAACCAACCUCAUGUCACUAUGGCUAUCUGUUUUCAGGCAAUAUAUCUAUGUGUAUGUUACAAGGACAAUAAUUCGAUAGUAACCAAGUUAAAUUUAUUUCCUUUGCAUGGAAAAUCUCAUUUCUGGGACCCAUUGAUAUUGAAUGUUGCUUCUUAUAUGAGCAACAGGGGUGGCGUCAGUUUUUAACAUGGAUUCGUUAAUUCAACUUCCCACAUCUGCUGUCCUUAUCUAAUUGUUUGUUUUUGCUGGUGUAUCUACUUCUUUUGCUGUGUUAGAUUGUCAAAUUAAUGAUCAGACAAGAAAAUUUUUGUGGAAGCAUCAAGGCAGGAUGCAAAAAUAACAAUAGGCCGCUGUCUUCCCCUCCUUCCUGCAUUUAUCUUUUGCGUAUUGUGCGAGUGUUUUGUACAUAAAAGUAUGUCAGCCUUUGGUAUUCUCAGUGAUGUAUGAACGAGUCAGUUUCUAGGGGUAUACAAAUUGAUCAAAAUUAAAUUGCGCAAACAAACUAUUGAGAUUCAUUUCAUUUUCUUCAUAGAAAGACUUUUGCUGAAUGGUCUGCCUCUCUUAUCUUUUGGUGGACUAUCUUGUCUUCUUCGUUAUGGUUGCAGGCACUCUCGAAGAGAAUACAUUAUGGAAAAUUUGUAGCUGAAGCAAAAUUUCGAGAAUCCCCAGCCAGCUAUGAGGCUGCCAUCAAAGGGCAAGUAUGGUUCUUAAUUUCUUCUUUUCUCCUUUAUGUAAUCCUGUACUGGGGAUGUUGGUUUUGCAGGACAGGGCUCAACUUAUGGUACUACUGACAUAUGAAACAGUAGAAGCAGCAGUAAAGAAGAGGGUAGAGCUGAAAGCCAAGACGUACGGCCAGGAGGUAAAAAUUGAGCCAGUGAAAGACGCGGUAAAUCCAGUAUAUAAGAUCAAGCCGAUUUUAGUUGCCAACCUGUAUGGAGAUUGGGUCAUGCCCCUCACAAAAGAAAUUCAGGUUGAGUACUUGUUGAGGAGGUUGGACUAAACCUCCAGUCACCUUCUGGCCUGCUUGUGUGAUCAAGCAUUAUAAUUUACGGUUUCCAAUCUAGAGACAGCCACCUCAUCCAAAUCAAGCUGAAGAAAGUUUGGUUGUUACCAAGAUCAGCCCCUCCUACCACCUCAGAUUUGCAGGAACAGCAUUCCGGGCCUCGUUUGUAGUGCUUUGUGGAUGGAUGAGUAAAACAAUUACAACUUUUUGUUAUGAAAGUUUUAAUGUGUAGCUGGUCUGUCAUCCUGUUUUGUCGACUGAAUGUGCACAAUUUAGAAUGCAUAUAUAUGUAUAUAUAUCCUUCAAUGUGUUAUGUAAGUUCUGUA
This is a long non-coding RNA of Cornus florida, 3531 nucleotides long. RefSeq lists it as uncharacterized. The transcript has 3 exons. Lineage: Eukaryota; Viridiplantae; Streptophyta; Magnoliopsida; Cornales; Cornaceae. The record is from RefSeq and is a predicted model, not a curated record.